UCGGGAAUUUUGCUCAAUGGGGGAAACCCUGAAGCAGCAACGCCGCGUGCGGGAUGAAGGCCUUCGGGUUGUAAACCGCUUUUACCAGGGACGAUGAUGACGGUACCUGAUGAAUAAGUCACGGCUAACUACGUGCCAGCAGCCGCGGUAAUACGUAGGUGACCAGCGUUGUCCGGAUUUACUGGGCGUAAAGAGCGCGCAGGCGGUCGUUCAAGUCGAGUGUGAAAGCCCCCGGCUCAACUGGGGAGGGUCAUUCGAUACUGAUCGACUCGAAGGCAGGAGAGGGAAGCGGAAUUCCCGGUGUAGUGGUGAAAUGCGUAGAUAUCGGGAGGAACACCAGUGGCGGAGGCGGCUUCCUGGCCUGUUCUUGACGCUGAGGCGCGAAAGCUAGGGGAGCAAACGGGAUUAGAUACCCCGGUAGUCCUAGCCGUAAACGAUGGACACUAGGUGUUGGUGGUAUCAACCCCACAGUGCCGAAGCUAACGCAUUAAGUGUCCCGCCUGGGGAGUACGGCCGACG
RNAcentral lists this ribosomal RNA (519 nucleotides) under uncultured bacterium. RNAcentral describes it as "bacterial SSU rRNA". It matches the Rfam family "Bacterial small subunit ribosomal RNA", at positions 355 to 891 of the family's 1533-position model. The record is from RNAcentral.